RNAcentral lists this long non-coding RNA (609 nucleotides) under Olea europaea (common olive). RNAcentral's name for it is "long non-coding RNA (OEUR_LNC006984)". Lineage: Eukaryota; Viridiplantae; Streptophyta; Magnoliopsida; Lamiales; Oleaceae. The record is from RNAcentral.
AACUCAUUAGACGGUCACAAAUUAAUAUUUUUUUAGGUCACAUUGGUCACAAUUUAUUUUUUUCAACGGUCUCUAUUGGUCACAAAUUAACCAAGUUAAUGGUUACAAUCAACCAAAUAAUCUGUGACCACACGAACACUUGUGACAACCUCUGCUUUCAACAGUAUCGUCGCCAGAACCAUCACCGCCACCCUACAGCAACAACGUCACGGGACAAAACCGCCAUAGCAAGCACAACACCAUCGGCCAUCCCUCACUAUUGCAACCACCAGAUCGCGUCACCAUUGCCAUCCCACACACAAACCACCAUCCACAACCACCAUCGUCCUCCUCUAGCCCAAUGCUAGAACCAAAUCCAAAACUCAUCCAACAUCACCAACAAUUCAACAUCACAGCCAUCAUCAUCAUCGGACCACCACAGCUGUCAAAGGAAAGCACAAUCUCACCACUAUCUCGGUUAGCAUCGUCGCAGUCGCUAACCAACAACGAUCGCUGGAGGCCAGAGUAGGAAUCCCCUUUCUUGAGCAGCCACAGAGAGUGAGAGAGAGAAGACGGGUGGGAAGAACGAGUGGAGAGAGAAUAUGAGUGGGAGGAGAGAAGAAAGGUUGG